RNAcentral lists this ribosomal RNA (426 nucleotides) under uncultured bacterium. Its description in RNAcentral is "bacterial SSU rRNA". It matches the Rfam family "Bacterial small subunit ribosomal RNA", at positions 28 to 455 of the family's 1533-position model. The record is from RNAcentral.
GACGAACGCUGGCGGCGUGCUUAACACAUGCAAGUCGAGCGGUAAGGCCCUUUCGGGGGUACACGAGCGGCGAACGGGUGAGUAACACGUGGGUGACCUGCCCUCAGCUCUGGGAUAAGCCUGGGAAACCGGGUCUAAUACUGGAUAUGACUCCAUGACGCAUGUUGUGGGGUGGAAAGCCUUGUGCGGCUGAGGAUGGGCCCGCGGCCUAUCAGCUUGUUGGUGGGGUGAUGGCCUACCAAGGCGACGACGGGUAGCCGGCCUGAGAGGGCGACCGGCCACACUGGGACUGAGACACGGCCCAGACUCCUACGGGAGGCAGCAGUGGGGAAUCUUGCGCAAUGGGCGAAAGCCUGACGCAGCCAUGCCGCGUGAAUGAUGAAGGUCUUAGGAUUGUAAAGUUCUUUCGCCCGUGACGAUGAUGAC